UUUCCGUAGGUGAACCCGCGGAAGGAUCAUUACAGUGUUCCCUGCCCUUCGGGGUAGGAUCGCCACCCUUGAUUAUUUAUGAGUGUUGCUUUGGCGGGCCUCGCGGCCUGGCCGCGCCCCGGCUUCGGCGGGGGAGCGCCCGCCAGAGGAUUCUACAAACCUGAUUAUUAGUGUCGUCUGAGUACUAUAUAAUAGUUAAAACUUUCAACAACGGAUCUCUUGGUUCUG
Molecule: unclassified non-coding RNA, 228 nt
Filed under: plant metagenome
Description: partial contains small subunit ribosomal RNA, internal transcribed spacer 1, and 5.8S ribosomal RNA
Source: RNAcentral